Molecule: ribosomal RNA, 427 nt
Filed under: uncultured bacterium
Lineage: Bacteria
Description: partial 16S ribosomal RNA
Rfam family: Bacterial small subunit ribosomal RNA
Source: RNAcentral
UGGGGAAUAUUGCACAAUGGGCGCAAGCCUGAUGCAGCCAUGCCGCGUGUAUGAAGAAGGCCUUCGGGUUGUAAAGUACUUUCAGCGGGGAGGAAGGCGAUAAGGUUAAUAACCUUGUCGAUUGACGUUACCCGCAGAAGAAGCACCGGCUAACUCCGUGCCAGCAGCCGCGGUAAUACGGAGGGCGCAAGCGUUAAUCGGAAUUACUGGGCGUAAAGCGCACGCAGGCGGUCUGUCAAGUCGGAUGUGAAAUCCCCGGGCUCAACCUGGGAACUGCAUUCGAAACUGGCAGGCUAGAGUUUUGUAGAGGGGGGUAGAAUUCCAGGUGUAGCGGUGAAAUGCGUAGAGAUCUGGAGGAAUACCGGUGGCGAAGGCGGCCCCCUGGACAAAGACUGACGCUCAGGUGCGAAAGCGUGGGGAGCAAACA